Molecule: long non-coding RNA, 2304 nt
Filed under: Marmota monax (woodchuck)
Lineage: Eukaryota; Metazoa; Chordata; Mammalia; Rodentia; Sciuridae
Source: RNAcentral
GAUCCAACUUCGCUCUGGAAACCGAGGCCUACACAGGUCACCAGGGUGAACAUGGAGGCCGCAUCGUCUCUGGCUGCAGGCCCUGUGUCCCAGCAGAUGGGCCUUGACUUGCUGCACUCCUGCCCCUGGCUGCUCCGGCCCAAGCUCUGCAGAGCCCCGGUCCUUCAGCAGCACAUCCUGAGUGCAGUGCAAGGGCUGGGUGACAUGGGCGAGCUCAAAGGACAACCAAAAGAAUCCCGAACAUUUCAGUCCUUGUUUUGGUUUUUUUUUUUUUAAAAUACACCCCUUCUGCUGAAUCCAUCCUCUGAAUCAGAGGAUGGUCAGCCCUCGGGAGCUGCCAGUUCCCUUCGAACUGCAAAACGAGCUCAGCUUUUGUGAGUUAACUUUGAUCGUAUCCUAGAGUUGGUCUCAUGCCCACCUCGGAGCCUUUGCCUGUACUGACUCCUGCCUGCAGCACCUGUCCUGGUUCGUGCGUGGUUGGGCCUUCUUGUCAUUCUCGUCCCAGCAGCUCCCACACCCUCGGGCAUACCGCCCCAUACCUGCAGCAUUCCCUCCCAGAACUUUCACUAUUCCAUAUUAGCUUCUCCACUGCUUCUUCACAUGUUAAAUCAGAAUCCCUGACUAGGACCUGAGCUCUGUCCUGGGCAACACUGUCUAGGUCAGCCCUGAAGACUGUCUCCGCCAGGGUGAGUGCUCACAGUGUUGCUGGGUAAGAGUGGCUUCAGCUUAUUAACCAACGUCUCGGCUGGUUCUCUGGUCUGGGAUUAUGAUGUGGGGUCCUAAGGUCCUACGGGUCAGAGGCGGGGUCCUCUGGGUAGCACAAGACCCUGUUUCCCUGCAGGCCAGCCCGGCGGCCUUGCCAUCCAAACAUCAGUCUCCAGGGUUCUGCUAAGACGAGGCCACCUCUGAUACCCCAACUGCCAGGUUGCCCACAGCCCUGGUCCAGGGAUGUGCAGAGUUAGAGGUCCUAACCCUGGCAUGUGGGAGGCUCAGCCUGGUGUAAAUGUCCACACCCACCCCUGCACUAGGGACUCAGCCGUAGGCCCUGCCCAGGCCUCCGUCUCUGACUUCCUCCAGAGCUCGCUUAUUUGCCUGAGGUACUUUACCUCUCUCCUUGCCUGAGACCCCAGAGCCUAUUUCUGCAAUAAUUCUUCAUUAAGAAAAUGAAAUACAAAAAUAAAACAGCCUCUUGCCAGGCUUAACAGCAGCACUAAAUUAGAUCUCUGUGAGUAGCCAAGUGGCCACUGUAAAAGAGAUGGAUGGGCUUUUAGCCUCAGAAACACACAGCAUCUUCUAGAACUUGGCAGAACUGACGGUCCCGACACACUCUCACCAGAGGCAGAGCCCUCCCUACCGCCUGCCUCGGAGCUGCCUUUGGAGAUGUGGGGGAGGCUUUGAGGUUGUCACAGAGAUGGGGGGUGCCAUGGGUGUUCAGGGGCCAGGGAUGCUCUACAUCCUGCAGAGGGCUGUACUGGGCCAAGAAAGUCCUGUCCCAAGUGCCAGGACAUCUCCUGGGAGUCUCUGCACCCUUGAGACUUUGUGGAGGGCACCGAGAGUGGACUCUGCCCAUGGGUGUGGGCAUCCUGCGGACCCCUGGCCAGGGGAAGAAACACAACAACCUCUCUUAGGUGGGCAAUGUCGUAGCAGCUCCAUCUCCUCAAGGGUGGCCUGGGACAUGAGUCACCUCAGACAGUGGAGCACGGGGCAGAGCAUAUUUUAUAUUAGUGAUUCAUGUGUGUUUUUGAAAUUAAACAAUAACUUCCCGCCUGCUCCCCUCGUUUACAUAACCACGACAGCAAGACCUAUUAUGAGUCAGGAAGGAAGGGUUUGGGGGCUCAAGUUCAUCCUUUAUCACAAGAUAAUCAGUCACCGUUCACCAAAUGCCAGCUGAGCACCUGGAACACGCAGCUUUAAUGAGACUCUUCUGUGGUCAUUAUUAAUUAAUUUAUUCAUUUAUUCAUUAAACCUUUCAGGGUAAUUUACCAUCUGAACAGAGAGAUGAUGGCAGAAACACACGCGGGUUGGAGAAAGUCUACAAUUUAAGCCUGAAUGAGCCACUUUAGAAAAUAUUGAAAAGUUUUUCAAUAUUGAAAGUACCAAAAUUAAGGAGGGGAAAAAAAAAGCAACAAUUGUGGUGGUAAAUUACAAUAUGCUAAUAUAUAAGAAAGGCAAUUACAUACUCAUCACUUGCAGUAAAAUGGUUAUUAUAAUAAUGUGGUAUUAUAAAAUUGAUAUGGUUAUUAUAAAAUAAUAGGGAAUUUAUCUUACAUUGUUUCGCAUUGAGAAAUAAUAAAAUUACCGUUG